UACAGGGGGGGCAAGUAUUAUUCUACAUGACUGGGCGUAAAGGAUAUGUAGGCGGUUUUCUAAAUGUUAAAAAAAAUCCUAUAAAAAAUUUAUAGGCUGUUUUAAUAUAUUAAAAAACUUUGAGUUUAUAGAAGAUAUUAGAAUCCGUUAAGAGUAAAUGUGAAAUGUUCAGAGACUUGGGGGAAUUCCAAAUGGCGAAAGCAUUUAUCUUGUUAAAACUGACGCUGAAAUAAGAAGGUAUGGGGAUCAAAUAGG
Molecule: ribosomal RNA, 255 nt
Filed under: uncultured bacterium
Lineage: Bacteria
Description: partial 16S ribosomal RNA
Rfam family: Bacterial small subunit ribosomal RNA
Source: RNAcentral